Long non-coding RNA from Homo sapiens (human), 356 nucleotides. Ensembl annotates it as ILVBL antisense RNA 1. Its record names the gene ILVBL-AS1. NCBI's taxonomy places the organism in Eukaryota, Metazoa, Chordata, Mammalia, Primates, Hominidae. The record is from Ensembl.
CCCAACUCCAGCUGCCUCACAGCCCUACACAUCCAAGGCUUGCUUUAAAUCUCCUAAGUCCUGAAGAAAAUGAAGACAGAAAGAACAGCACCUACUUUCAAGGAAAAGGAGGCCACGCCCCUCAGCGGCUUCAGGAGCCCAGACCUUUGGGGGCCCACCUUCCGCAGCUUUCCAUUGGCCCCACGGUGGAAGCCCGUAGGUUCAGGCCCUCCGAACACAGCUCGCUUUCCACACCAGCGGGGCCGUACCAGAGCAAGACCAUGUCUCACAAAAUAAUAAUAAUACUUAAAAAAUGGUAAAUUUUAUGUUAUGUAUAUUUUCCACACUAUAAAUAAAUAUUUGUGCAUGUAUAUAUA